ACUUGUAUGUAUCCAGGAUUAUUCAAAAAGCUGAAAUUGGGCUUGAUGAGGAAGGUACAGUGGCCAGCGCAGCAGGAGGUUCCGUUUUCCUCAACAGAAGUCCACCACCACGUUUCUUAGCUAACAGGCCAUUUUUAUAUUUCAUAAUUCACAAAGUGAGUGGAACUGUUGUGUUUUCAGGCAGAGUUAGUAAUCCUAAUGCACUUGGUUAAGCAGAUCUGUGUUAAAUUAUAUGAAUAAAUUAUU
This is a long non-coding RNA of Sitophilus oryzae (rice weevil), 246 nucleotides long. RefSeq lists it as uncharacterized. NCBI's taxonomy places the organism in Eukaryota, Metazoa, Arthropoda, Insecta, Coleoptera, Curculionidae. The transcript has 2 exons. The record is from RefSeq and is a predicted model, not a curated record.